Thalassophryne amazonica is the source of this 251-nucleotide long non-coding RNA. RefSeq lists it as uncharacterized. NCBI's taxonomy places the organism in Eukaryota, Metazoa, Chordata, Actinopteri, Batrachoidiformes, Batrachoididae. The record is from RefSeq and is a predicted model, not a curated record. The transcript has 3 exons.
UAUGAGCUCACUGGGCAGUGACAAGGCCCGGGGCCCUCGGGAAAAAGUGUUGCCUGUUGUUUCUCACACAUCUCAACAACCACAGAAACAGGUACAGGCUACAGCUGAGCAGAUCCGGCUUGCCCAGAUGAUCUAUGACAAGAAUGAUGGUGACUUUGAGGACAAAGUUAACCAGCUGAUGGAGGUGACUGGAAAGAAUCAAGAUGAGUGCAUGGUCGCACUCCAUGAUUGCAACGAGGAUGUUAGUAGAG